GGGUCUGUAGCUCAGUCGGUUAGAGCAGGGGACUCAUAAUCCCUUGGUCGACGGUUCGAGUCCGUCCGGACCCACCA
RNAcentral lists this transfer RNA (77 nucleotides) under Betaproteobacteria bacterium. RNAcentral's name for it is "tRNA-Ile". It matches the Rfam family "tRNA". From Rfam's summary of the family: Transfer RNA (tRNA) molecules are approximately 80 nucleotides in length. Their secondary structure includes four short double-helical elements and three loops (D, anti-codon, and T loops). Lineage: Bacteria; Pseudomonadati; Pseudomonadota; Betaproteobacteria. The record is from RNAcentral.